RNAcentral lists this non-coding RNA (30 nucleotides) under Homo sapiens (human). The record is from RNAcentral. Lineage: Eukaryota; Metazoa; Chordata; Mammalia; Primates; Hominidae.
UGCCCAGAAGCUGCUUAGUGUAGAGGAGGA